UGGCUCAGAUGGUAAAGCAUCUGGCUUUAAUGCAGGAGACCCAGGUUCGAUCCCUGG
This 57-nucleotide transfer RNA is filed under the name Bos taurus (domestic cattle). It matches the Rfam family "tRNA", at positions 8 to 63 of the family's 71-position model. Rfam says of the family: Transfer RNA (tRNA) molecules are approximately 80 nucleotides in length. Their secondary structure includes four short double-helical elements and three loops (D, anti-codon, and T loops). Further hydrogen bonds mediate the characteristic L-shaped molecular structure. tRNAs have two regions of fundamental functional importance: the anti-codon, which is responsible for specific mRNA codon recognition, and the 3' end, to which the tRNAs corresponding amino acid is attached (by aminoacyl-tRNA synthetases). tRNAs cope with the degeneracy of the genetic code in two manners: having more than one tRNA (with a specific anti-codon) for a particular amino acid; and 'wobble' base-pairing, i.e. permitting non-standard base-pairing at the 3rd anti-codon position. Lineage: Eukaryota; Metazoa; Chordata; Mammalia; Artiodactyla; Bovidae. RNAcentral also lists the same sequence under 4 other names. The record is from Rfam by way of RNAcentral.